UUUUUAGUAUAAGUAGGUCCCAUGAAAUGUUUGUGACAUAUAUAUACUAAAA
This 52-nucleotide microRNA precursor is filed under the name Cercocebus atys (sooty mangabey). RNAcentral's name for it is "mir-1302 microRNA precursor family". It matches the Rfam family "mir-1302 microRNA precursor family". RNAcentral also lists the same sequence under 4 other names. The record is from Rfam by way of RNAcentral. Lineage: Eukaryota; Metazoa; Chordata; Mammalia; Primates; Cercopithecidae.